Molecule: long non-coding RNA, 450 nt
Organism: Cucurbita maxima (winter squash)
Lineage: Eukaryota; Viridiplantae; Streptophyta; Magnoliopsida; Cucurbitales; Cucurbitaceae
Exons: 3
Source: RefSeq, a predicted model, not a curated record
UUCAUGAGGCUUCCUUUUUUUCUAAGUUAUAAAAAUGAUCUCAUGGGCUUCCUUUUUUUUAAGUAACGAAGUAUAUUGACGAUUGAGGCCUUCGGAAGGGAGAUUCCCUUAGAACAACGGCAGAAUUUCGGCGAUUCAGGAAUUUGGGACUCCACAACCAAGCUACUCCCAAAUGCUGUUCGAGAAAUCACAUCAGCAGCCAUUUGUUGUAGAUAAGGCAUUACAUCUAGCUCACACGAUCCCUCCUCGGAGACCAUGCUUUCCCAUUUGCCAACCAUCUCGUAGCAGCUAUGAUAGAAUGCUGGUACCAUACCCUGUAAGCCAAUUCAAGGAUUGAUUAUCUUUCUGUGUUAGGCCCAUUUUGCUCCUUCAUGGUUUACAAGUCCACCUGCAAACAACUUGACAAGGGGAUUCAUAGAUGGCUUUUGGAUAUCAUUGAACAAUGCAAAC